UCCUUGUAUACGGGCUGAUGGUAGAAUUGUUCCAACCCCUGAUUUUCUAGGCCAAGGCUUCCCAAUCUCUGAGCAUGGAGCAACUUCAUGUUUGACAAGAUCUCAGCUCGAGAAACAUCAUUUGGAUGGUAACCAGUUGAUACUGAAGGUGAGGAACCUACACUCGAGACGAUGGUUGACCUGGGUAUCGUGGACUGGGGACGCUGCAUCACUAUUACAGGUUCCCUAUAUGCUGCAUUUUGAAUUAAUUUCUGUUCAGCAACACCACGAUGAACAUCAGGCUUCGUUACUGCAGGUGGGACCUGCAUCCGCAUUCCGAUACUUGAUGAACCUGAAGGAGGCCAUCUCUUCUCCACUAGUGAUGUUUGCUGGUUUAUCUUUGACGAUUGCAACUUGGAAGUGCCAAGCUCUAGGUCAGUUGGUGUGAUGGGAACUGCCUUACUA
Molecule: long non-coding RNA, 444 nt
Filed under: Eucalyptus grandis
Lineage: Eukaryota; Viridiplantae; Streptophyta; Magnoliopsida; Myrtales; Myrtaceae
Description: long non-coding RNA (EGRA_LNC004479)
Source: RNAcentral